RNAcentral lists this ribosomal RNA (915 nucleotides) under uncultured archaeon. RNAcentral's name for it is "bacterial SSU rRNA". It matches the Rfam family "Archaeal small subunit ribosomal RNA", at positions 1 to 923 of the family's 1478-position model. The record is from RNAcentral.
UUCCGGUUGAUCCUGCCGGACCUGACUGCUAUCGGAUUGAUACUAAGCCAUGCGAGUCAUUGUAGCAAUACAAGGCAGACGGCUCAGUAACGCGUAGUCAACCUACCCUAUGGACGGGGAUAACCUCGGGAAACUGAGAAUAAUACCCGAUAGAACAUUAUACCUGGAAUGGUUUAUGUUUCAAAUAAUUUAUUGCCGUAGGAUGGGACUGCGGCCUAUCAGUUUGUUGGUGAGGUAAUGGCCCACCAAGACUAUUACAGGUACGGGCUCUGAGAGGAGUAGCCCGGAGAUGGGUACUGAGACACGGACCCAGGCCCUAUGGGGCGCAGCAGGCGAGAAAACUUUGCAAUGUGCGAAAGCACGACAAGGUUAAUCCGAGUGGUUUCUGCUAAAGGAACCUUUUGUUAGUCAUAGAACCACUAAUGAAUAAGGGGUGGGCAAGUUCUGGUGUCAGCCGCCGCGGUAAAACCAGCACCUCAAGUGGUCAGGAUGAUUAUUGGGCCUAAAGCAUCCGUAGCCUGCUUUGUUAGUUUUCGGUUAAAUCCAUACGCUCAACGUAUGGGCUGCCGGGAAUACUGCAAAGCUAGGGAGUGGGAGAGGUAGACGGUACUCGGUAGGAAGGGGUAAAAUCCUUUGAUCUAUUGAUGACCACCUGUGGCGAAGGCGGUCUACCAGAACACGUCCGACGGUGAGGGAUGAAAGCUGGGGGAGCAAACCGGAUUAGAUACCCGGGUAGUCCCAGCUGUAAACUAUGCAAACUCGGUGAUGCAUUGGCUUGAUGCCAAUGCAGUGCCGCAGGGAAGCCGUUAAGUUUGCCGCCUGGGAAGUACGUACGCAAGUAUGAAACUUAAAGGAAUUGGCGGGGGAGCACCACAAGGGGUGAAGCCUGCGGUUCAAUUGGAGUCAACGCCGGAA